Molecule: RNA transcript, 1245 nt
Organism: Zea mays
Lineage: Eukaryota; Viridiplantae; Streptophyta; Magnoliopsida; Poales; Poaceae
Gene name: isocitrate dehydrogenase pseudogene
Exons: 1
Source: RefSeq, marked validated
UGGCGCCGUUCUCAACGGAGUCCGGGGAGACCAUUCGUGCCACGCUCUUUCCCCGCGAUGGCAUCGGGCCAGAGAUCGCCGAGUCUGUGAAGCAGGUAUUCAAUGUUGCAGGGGUACCAAUUGAAUGGGAAGAACACUAUGUCGGUACAGAAGUUGAUCCCAGGACAGAGAGUUUUUUGACUUGGGAAAGCCUGGAGUCAGUGCGUAGAAACAAAGUUGGCUUGAAAGGACCUAUGGCUACACCUAUUGGAAAGGGCCAUCGAUCUUUGAAUCUUACAUUAAGGAAAGAACUUGGGCUCUAUGCCAAUGUCAGACCUUGCAACAGCCUCCCAGGUUACAAGACCAGAUACGAUGAUGUUAACCUUGUAACAAUUCGUGAAAAUACUGAAGGAUAAUAUAGUGGUCUUGAGCAUCAGGUUGUGAGAGGUGUUGUGGAAAGUUUGGAAAUUAUUACACGCCAAGCAAGUUUGAGAGUGGCAGAGUAUGCUUUCCAUUAUGCCAAGGCAAAUGGCCGGGAAAGAGUCUCUGCGAUCCACAAAGCCAAUAUUAUGAGGAAGACAGAUGGUCUUUUCCUCAAGUGUUGCCGCGAAGUGGCUGAAAAGUACCCUGAAAUUCAAUACGAGGAGGUCAUCAUUGACAAUUGCUGUAUGACGCUUGUGAAGAAUCCUGGUCUUUUUGACGUAUUAGUGAUGCCAAAUCUCUAUGGUGACAUGUGAUCUAUGUGCUGGUUUGAUCGGGGGCUUGGGCCUAACACCCAGUUGCAAUAUUGGUGAAGGUGGCAUUUGUCUGGCUGAAGCUGUUCAUGGUUCUGCUCCUGAUAUUGCUGGCAAGAACCUUGCGAACCCGACUGCUCUUAUGCUGAGUGCUGUCAUGUUGUUGCGCCACAUGCAAUUCAACGACAAAGCAGACCGGAUCCACAACGCCAUCCUCCAGACCAUCGCCGAGGGCAAGUACAGGACUGCUGAUCUUGGUGGAAAGGCAUCGACAUCAGAGUUUACAAACGCAGUCUGUGAUCACAUCUGAGAAACGGAUGUGAUUCUUCCUUCUGAUUGUUUUGUCAUCCUAAUAUUUUUUUGUCACAUAUGAGAGGAGCUUUAGCUUUAAGAGGUUAACUGGCAGCACCUCGAACUUAUUUGGGGUGUUUAACACGGUUUGAGACCGUCAAAUAAUUUUGUCACAUUUCUUGCGGUUCAGAAAUUCUUUCAACAUUGGAAUGGAGCCAAGAAUUGUCUGUAAUAAUCAACA